Molecule: small RNA, 80 nt
Filed under: Arabidopsis thaliana (thale cress)
Lineage: Eukaryota; Viridiplantae; Streptophyta; Magnoliopsida; Brassicales; Brassicaceae
Description: ATSL004860
Source: RNAcentral
UGUUCCUUUGGCAUUUGGUUCUUGAAGAGUUUUUUUCUUCUUCUUUUGUUUUCCACGUUUCUUGAUGAUAUAACAACUAU